This 429-nucleotide ribosomal RNA is filed under the name Chloroflexota bacterium. Its description in RNAcentral is "Chloroflexi bacterium partial 16S ribosomal RNA". It matches the Rfam family "Bacterial small subunit ribosomal RNA", at positions 355 to 776 of the family's 1533-position model. The record is from RNAcentral. Lineage: Bacteria; Bacillati; Chloroflexota.
UGGGGAAUAUUGCACAAUGGGCGCAAGCCUGAUGCAGCCAUGCCGCGUGUAUGAAGAAGGCCUUCGGGUUGUAAAGUACUUUCAGUCGGGAGGAAGGUGGUAAGGUUAAUAACCUUGUCGAUUGACGUUACCCGCAGAAGAAGCACCGGCUAACUCCGUGCCAGCAGCCGCGGUAAUACGGAGGGUGCAAGCGUUAAUCGGAAUUACUGGGCGUAAAGCGCACGCAGGCGGUCUGUCAAGUCGGAUGUGAAAUCGCCGGGCUCAACCUGGGAACUGCAUUCGAAACUGGCAGGCUAGAGUCUUGUAGAGGGGGGUAGAAUUCCAGGUGUAGCGGUGAAAUGCGUAGAGAUCUGGAGGAAUACCGGUGGCGAAGGCGGCCCCCUGGACAAAGACUGACGCUCAGGUGCGAAAGCGUGGGGAGCAAACAGG